GUGGGGAAUAUUGGACAAUGGGCGAAAGCCUGAUCCAGCCAUGCCGCGUGUGUGAAGAAGGUCUUCGGAUUGUAAAGCACUUUAAGUUGGGAGGAAGGGCAGUAAGUUAAUACCUUGCUGUUUUGACGUUACCAACAGAAUAAGCACCGGCUAACUUCGUGCCAGCAGCCGCGGUAAUACGAAGGGUGCAAGCGUUAAUCGGAAUUACUGGGCGUAAAGCGCGCGUAGGUGGUUCAGCAAGUUGGAGGUGAAAUCCCCGGGCUCAACCUGGGAACUGCCUCCAAAACUACUGAGCUAGAGUACGGUAGAGGGUAGUGGAAUUUCCUGUGUAGCGGUGAAAUGCGUAGAUAUAGGAAGGAACACCAGUGGCGAAGGCGACUACCUGGACUGAUACUGACACUGAGGUGCGAAAGCGUGGGGAGCAAACAGGAUUAGAAACCCGGGUAGUUC
RNAcentral lists this ribosomal RNA (450 nucleotides) under uncultured bacterium. RNAcentral's name for it is "partial 16S ribosomal RNA". It matches the Rfam family "Bacterial small subunit ribosomal RNA", at positions 354 to 796 of the family's 1533-position model. The record is from RNAcentral.